Molecule: long non-coding RNA, 815 nt
Organism: Sphaerodactylus townsendi
Lineage: Eukaryota; Metazoa; Chordata; Lepidosauria; Squamata; Sphaerodactylidae
Exons: 3
Source: RefSeq, a predicted model, not a curated record
UUCGCGUGGGCUUCUCAGCAGCAGCCACUGACGAGGACCCUGAGGGGAACGGGAGGCCGUUGGGCGUGCGGACAGGCCUAGGCCUAGGCUGAGGCGCCUGCGCGCCCCUCCGAGCGGCGGGGGGCGCUGGGGGCCGGUCGGAGGCGAGCACUCCGGGCGGAGACAGGGCGAGGUGCGUCGGGCGCCACGUCGGCAAGCGUUAAAGCGGCGGCGGCGGCAGCACCAGUACCACCGAAGGGGCCGAGUUUGCUCCGGGGUUGGGGAGCUGUCGGCCAGACCGACCCGGCUGGGGGGACGAAUCCCGCGGAGAUUUCUACAUAGGAAAUUGAAGUGGAAUUUUCGGAUUCAGUUAUAGUUGUCUCAUGAGCAAGACCAGAGACAGCUGUGCGUGUUGAAAAUCCAGUAAGUUCACAAUGGACUUAAGCAGUUUUGUGUUGAUUGUAUCGGUCACAUCAGAGAAAAUGGCUUAUUCACAAUCCAGUUAAAGUUUCAAUAAUUUUGAAGCAGAAGUUUUAAUAAUUUUUGAGGAUCCCUCAGUAUGGAUUGGGUUUAGAUGCCAAAUGUCCAACAGUCAUUAUGCUUCUAGGUACGUGUAUGUGUGGGGGAAAGAACAGGGCGGUAAAGAGGGCAGGAGAAUCCAUCCAGAAUGCGGCCGGAGCUUUGGAAGAGUUUGGGACCCCAUUAAGAAUAGACUGAGAGGGGAAGGAGGAUUUGUAUUUUGAAUUUGACUCCCUCUAGACUUUGGCAUAUCACAACUAGAUUUUGAAAGUGAACUUAUUACAAAACAUUUCUUCUUAAUUACAAAACAUUUCUUC